AGAGUUUGAUCCUGGCUCAGGAUGAACGCUGGCGGCGUGCCUAACACAUGCAAGUCGAGCGAUUCUCUUCGGAGAAGAGCGGCGGACGGGUGAGUAACGCGUGGGUAACCUGCCCUGUACACACGGAUAACAUACCGAAAGGUAUGCUAAUACGAGAUAAUAUGCUUUUAUCGCAUGGUAGAAGUAUCAAAGCAUUUGCGGUACAGGAUGGACCCGCGUCUGAUUAGCUAGUUGGUAAGGUAACGGCUUACCAAGGCGACGAUCAGUAGCCGACCUGAGAGGGUGAUCGGCCACAUUGGAACUGAGACACGGUCCAAACUCCUACGGGAGGCAGCAGUGGGGAAUAUUGCACAAUGGGCGAAAGCCUGAUGCAGCAACGCCGCGUGAGCGAUGAAGGCCUUCGGGUCGUAAAGCUCUGUCCUCAAGGAAGAUAAUGACGGUACUUGAGGAGGAAGCCCCGGCUAACUACGUGCCAGCAGCCGCGGUAAUACGUAGGGGGCUAGCGUUAUCCGGAAUUACUGGGCGUAAAGGGGGGGUGGGUGUUUUUUAAAUCAAGGGGGGAAAAGGGGAGGGAUAACCGUAAGUAAGUACUGAAAAUGGGAGAAGUGAGGGCGGAGAGGGAAAGUGGAAUUCCUAGGAUAGCGGUAAAAUGGUUAGAUUUUAGGAGGAAACACCAGUAGCGGAGGCGGCUUUGUGGACUGUAACUGACACUGAGGCGAGAGAAGGGGGGGGAGCAAACAGGAUUAGAUACCCUGGUAGUCCACGCAGUAAACGAUGAGUACUAGGGUUCGGGGGGUUACCCCCCUCGGUGCCGCAGUUAAACGCAUUAAGUACUCCGCCUGGGAAGUACGCUCGCAAGAGUGAAACUCAAAGGAAUUGACGGGGACCCGCACAAGUAGCGGAGCAUGUGGUUUAAUUCGAAGCAACGCGAAGAACCUUACCUAAGCUUGACAUCCUUUUGACCGAUGCGUAAUCGCGUUUUUCCCUUCGGGGACAGAAGUGACAGGUGGUGCAUGGUUGUCGUCAGCUCGUGUCGUGAGAUGUUGGGUUAAGUCCCGCAACGAGCGCAACCCUUGCCUUUAGUUGCCAUCAUUAAGUUGGGCACUCUAGAGGGACUGCCAGGGAUAACCUGGAGGAAGGUGGGGAAGACGUCAAAUCAUCAUGCCCCUUAUGCUUAGGGCUACACACGUGCUACAAUGGGUGGUACAGAGGGCAGCCAAGUCGUGAGGCGGAGCUAAUCCCUUAAAGCCAUUCUCAGUUCGGAUUGUAGGCUGAAACUCGCCUACAUGAAGAAGGAGUUACUAGUAAUCGCAGAUCAGAAUGAUGCGGUGAAUGCGUUACCGGGUCUUGCACACACCGCCCG
RNAcentral lists this ribosomal RNA (1363 nucleotides) under uncultured bacterium. RNAcentral's name for it is "16S ribosomal RNA". It matches the Rfam family "Bacterial small subunit ribosomal RNA". The record is from RNAcentral.